UGAGGAAUAUUGGUCAAUGGACGCAAGUCUGAACCAGCCAAGUAGCGUGCAGGAUGACGGCCCUAUGGGUUGUAAACUGCUUUUGUAUGGGGAUAAAGUGCGUGACGUGUCAUGCAUUGCAGGUACCACAUGAAUAAGGACCGGCUAAUUCCGUGCCAGCAGCCGCGGUAAUACGGAAGGUCCGGGCGUUAUCCGGAUUUAUUGGGUUUAAAGGGAGCGUAGGCUGUCUAUUAAGCGUGUUGUGAAAUUUACCGGCUCAACCGGUGGCUUGCAGCGCGAACUGGUCGACUUGAGUAUGCAGGAAGUAGGCGGAAUUCAUGGUGUAGCGGUGAAAUGCUUAGAUAUCAUGACGAACUCCGAUUGCGCAGGCAGCUUACUGUAGCAUAACUGACGCUGAUGCUCGAAAGUGCGGGUAUCAAACAGG
Molecule: ribosomal RNA, 424 nt
Filed under: Verrucomicrobiota bacterium
Lineage: Bacteria; Pseudomonadati; Verrucomicrobiota
Description: Verrucomicrobia bacterium partial 16S ribosomal RNA
Rfam family: Bacterial small subunit ribosomal RNA
Source: RNAcentral